UACGGGGGGAGCAAGCGUUGUUCGGAUUUACCGGGCGUAAAGGGCGCGUAGGCGGCCAGCACAAGUCAGUUGUGAAAUCUCCGGGCUUAACUCGGAAAGGUCAACUGAUACUGUGCGGCUAGAGUGCAGAAGGGGCAACUGGAAUUCUCGGUGUAGCGGUGAAAUGCGUAGAUAUCGAGAGGAACACCUGCGGCGAAGGCGGGUUGCUGGGCUGACACUGACGCUGAUGCGCGAAAGCCAGGGGAGCGAACGGG
This 254-nucleotide ribosomal RNA is filed under the name uncultured bacterium. RNAcentral describes it as "partial 16S ribosomal RNA". It matches the Rfam family "Bacterial small subunit ribosomal RNA", at positions 524 to 776 of the family's 1533-position model. The record is from RNAcentral.